GCCUCCGCUUCAGGGAGGGGCGGGCUGGAGAGGCCACCUCCCCCUUCUAAGGCUCCAGAUCCUCCAGUUCUGAGUCACCCAGCUUGUCAGGUGCCUCGUCAUCCAGCAUCAUUAUCCUUAAAGGAAAGUGGAUGUGGCCUACUCUUCACUCCAGCAAUCAUAUGAAGAUAAGUCUCUACCCUCUUGGAGGAGCGUGCUAAGUCAAUUCAGUCACGUCUGACUCUUUGCAACCCUAUGGACUGUAGAUCACCAGGCUCCUCUGUCCAUGGGAUUCUCCAAGGUGGGUUCUUUACCACUAGCGCCACCUGGGAAGCCCACUGGAGGAGCAGCAACCACGUUUAAGGCCUUGAUUUGACUCCAGGGGCAGACUAGAUUGGACUAGAAGGAAUCCCAGUGGCCUCGCCUGUGAUCCGCUUUGGACUGGAGCUGACUCACCUGGUUUAACACCUUGCAACCCUCUAUGUGCACCUAUGUGAAGCUAAGCCUACAGCCAAGGGGUCUUCCGGAUGCACCUUUAUGUCCUGGCUCUGAGGUCUGUGUGGUUUGGGGCCACAGAUACACCCCUUUUCUCAUCCAUAAAACAGGACUCACUUCACAGAACCAUGGUAAGGAUAAAAUCAUCCAAAGGAUAAUUUUAUCGUCAUGCAAAGACCUUGGCAUAAACCAAGUGCUCACAUAGUGAGAGACAUUAAGGUACUGGAUCUGGCCCUUAAAAGGAUGACUCAGUGUAUUCAAAACCUCAUUCCAUGGAUUACAGCGUCAAAGUCUUUCUCAAAUACCCUAGUGUCCUCUGUUUUUUUUCCAGGUAUCAGUUAAGGAGAGGCCAGGAAGAUAAUGGUUGAGGCCAAACAAGGACAUGUGUGGGUGAAGCGUGACCAGAGGGGAGGG
Bos taurus (domestic cattle) is the source of this 888-nucleotide long non-coding RNA. The record is from Ensembl. Lineage: Eukaryota; Metazoa; Chordata; Mammalia; Artiodactyla; Bovidae.